Molecule: ribosomal RNA, 1130 nt
Filed under: uncultured organism
Description: bacterial SSU rRNA
Rfam family: Bacterial small subunit ribosomal RNA
Source: RNAcentral
GAUGAACGCUAGCGGCGCGCUUAUGCAUGCAAGUCGAGCGAUGAGACUCCUACGGGAGCACAUCAGCGGCAGACGGGUGAGUAACACGUAGAUGGCGUACCCUCAAGACGGGGAUAACGGAUGGAAACAUGCGCUAAUACCGGAUGACCUUACGAUGUCAGAAUGGUAAGGAAAGCUACGGCGCUUGAGGAGCGGUCUGCGGCCCAUCAGCUAGUUGGUAGGGUAAAGGCCUACCAAGGCGAAGACGGGUAGGGGGUGUGAGAGCACGGCCCCCCACAAUGGGACUGAGACACGGCCCAUACUCCUACGGGAGGCAGCAGCAGGGAAUAUUGCACAAUGGACGGAAGUCUGAUGCAGCGACGCCGCGUGAGUGAAGAAGGCCUUCGGGUUGUAAAACUCUUUUGAGGGGGAAGAGCGAGGACGGUACCCCUGGAAUAAGCGUCGGCUAACUACGUGCCAGCAGCCGCGGUAAGACGUAGGACGCGAGCGUUAUCCGGAUUUACUGGGCGUAAAGCGUCUGUAGGCGGAUGUGUAAGUUGGGCGUGAAAGCUCCGGGCUUAACCCGGAGAGGCCGUUCAAUACUGCAUAACUUGAGGGUGUCAGAGGGGAGCGGAAUUCCCGGUGUAGCGGUAGAAUGCGCAGAGAUCGGGAGGAACACCAGUGGCGGAGGCGGUUCCCUGGGGCACACCUGACGCUGAGAGACGAAAGCUAGGGGAGCGAACAGGAUUAGAGACCCUGGUAGUCCUAGCCCUAAACGAUGAAUGCUAGGUGUGGGAUCGAAUGGUUCCGUGCCGGAGCGAACGCGAUAAGCAUUCCGCCUGGGGAGUACGGCCGCAAGGUUAAAACUCAAACGAAUUGACGGGGCCCCGCACAAGCAGCGGAGCGUGUGGUUUAAUUCGAUGCUACACGAAGAACCUUACCUGGGUUUGACAUGUAGGUGGUAGUGAAUCGAAAGGUGAACGACCCUUCGGGGAGCCUACACAGGUGCUGCAUGGCUGUCGUCAGCUCGUGCCGUGAGGUGUCGGGUUAAGUCCCGUAACGAGCGCAACCCUUGCUCCUAGUUACAAGUGUCUAGGGGGACUGCCGGCGGAAAGCCGGAGGAAGGUGGGGAUGACGUCAAGUCAGCAUGG